GCGUUGCUCGGAAUCACUGGGCGUAAAGGGCGCGUAGGCGGCCAUUCAAGUUGGGGGUGAAAGCCUGGGGCUCAACCACAGAACUGCCUUCGAUACUGUUCGGCUUGAGUUUGGUAGAGGUUGGUGGAACUGCGAGUGUAGAGGUGAAAUUCGUAGAUAUUCGCAAGAACACCAGUGGCGAAGGCGGCCAACUGGACCAACACUGGCGCUGAGGCGCGAAAGCGUG
This 226-nucleotide ribosomal RNA is filed under the name uncultured bacterium. RNAcentral's name for it is "partial 16S ribosomal RNA". It matches the Rfam family "Bacterial small subunit ribosomal RNA", at positions 538 to 763 of the family's 1533-position model. The record is from RNAcentral.